CGGGUGAGUAACGCGUGGGCAACCUACCCUUCGGUGGGGGAUAACCACUCGAAAGAGUGGCUAAUACCGCAUCCGACGAGAGGACCGCGAGGUCUUCUGGUGAAAGCGGCGCAAGUCGCGCCGAAGGAUGGGCCCGCGUACCAUUAGCUAGUUGGUGGGGUAAUGGCCUACCAAGGCGACGAUGGUUAGCUGGUCUGAGAGGAUGAUCAGCCACACUGGAACUGAGACACGGUCCAG
RNAcentral lists this ribosomal RNA (237 nucleotides) under uncultured bacterium. Its description in RNAcentral is "partial 16S ribosomal RNA". It matches the Rfam family "Bacterial small subunit ribosomal RNA", at positions 103 to 334 of the family's 1533-position model. The record is from RNAcentral.